Molecule: ribosomal RNA, 469 nt
Filed under: uncultured bacterium
Lineage: Bacteria
Description: bacterial SSU rRNA
Rfam family: Bacterial small subunit ribosomal RNA
Source: RNAcentral
AACGCUGGCGGCGUGCCUAACACAUGCAAGUCGAGCGGAGAUGUACUGAAGAUUUAUCGGAUGUACAUCUUAGCGGCGGACGGGUGAGUAACGCGUGGGCAACCUGCCUUCCACUGGGGGAUAACACAGGGAAACCUGUGCUAAUACCGCAUGACAUCACAUAGGGCAUCCUGUGUGAUCAAAGGAGUGAUCCGGUGGAAGAUGGGCCCGCGUCCGAUUAGCUAGUUGGUGAGGUAACGGCUCACCAAGGCGACGAUCGGUAGCCGGACUGAGAGGUUGGCCGGCCACAUUGGGACUGAGACACGGCCCAGACUCCUACGGGAGGCAGCAGUGGGGAAUAUUGCGCAAUGGGGGGAACCCUGACGCAGCGACGCCGCGUGAAGGAAGAAGGCCUUCGGGUUGUAAACUUCUUUGAUGAGGGACGAAGGAAGUGACGGUACCUCAAAAACAAGCCACGGCUAACUACGUG